UACAGAGGUCUCAAGCGUUGUUCGGAUUCAUUGGGCGUAAAGGGUGCGUAGGCGGCGGGGUAAGUCUGAUGUGAAAUCCCGGGGCUCAACCCCGGAACUGCAUUGGAUACUGCCCUGCUUGAGUACUGGAGAGGAGACUGGAAUUUACGGUGUAGCAGUGAAAUGCGUAGAGAUCGUAAGGAAGACCAGUGGCGAAGGCGAGUCUCUGGACAGUUACUGACGCUGAGGCACGAAGGCCAGGGGAGCAAACGGG
This 253-nucleotide ribosomal RNA is filed under the name uncultured bacterium. Its description in RNAcentral is "partial 16S ribosomal RNA". It matches the Rfam family "Bacterial small subunit ribosomal RNA", at positions 524 to 776 of the family's 1533-position model. The record is from RNAcentral.